CCCUAGCCCUGAUAGGAGCGGUAUCCUUUUUCUUGCUCCUUUAGCAAGGAAAAGAUAAAGCGGAUAGCAGGAUUGGCU
RNAcentral lists this small RNA (78 nucleotides) under Flavobacterium collinsii. RNAcentral's name for it is "Flavo-1". It matches the Rfam family "Flavo-1 RNA". Lineage: Bacteria; Pseudomonadati; Bacteroidota; Flavobacteriia; Flavobacteriales; Flavobacteriaceae. The record is from RNAcentral.